GUGAGGAAUAUUGGUCAAUGGGCGGGAGCCUGAACCAGCCAAGUCGCGUGAAGGAAGAAGGAUCUAUGGUUCGUAAACUUCUUUUGCAGGGGAAUAAAGUGCAGGACGUGUCCUGUUUUGUAUGUACCCUGAGAAUAAGGAUCGGCUAACUCCGUGCCAGCAGCCGCGGUAAUACGGAGGAUCCGAGCGUUAUCCGGAUUUAUUGGGUUUAAAGGGUGCGUAGGUGGUUUGAUAAGUCAGCGGUGAAAUCCUGCAGCUUAACUGUAAAAAUGCCGUUGAAACUGUCGGACUUGAGUGUAAAUGAGGUAGGCGGAAUGCGUGGUGUAGCGGUGAAAUGCAUAGAUAUCACGCAGAACUCCGAUUGCGAAGGCAGCUUACUAAGCUACAACUGACACUGAAGCACGAAAGCGUGGGGAUCAAACAGGAUUAGAUACCCUUGUAGUCC
RNAcentral lists this ribosomal RNA (445 nucleotides) under uncultured bacterium. RNAcentral's name for it is "partial 16S ribosomal RNA". It matches the Rfam family "Bacterial small subunit ribosomal RNA", at positions 354 to 796 of the family's 1533-position model. The record is from RNAcentral.